UAUCUCUGUAGAGUCUGCAUAUCAAUAAGCGGAGGAAAAGGAACUAACAAGGAUUCCCUUAGUAGCGGCGAGUGAAGCGGGAAGAGCUCAAAUUUGAAAUCUUCAAGGUUCUACCUUGACGAAUUGUAGUUUAAAGAAGUGUUUUCUGUUAGAUGAGUAGCAAAAGUUCCUUGGAAUGGGACAUCAUAGAGGGUGAGAAUCCCGUAUUUGGUUAUUCAUUCUAGCUUUGUGAUACACUUUCAAAGAGUCGGAUUGUUUGGGAAUGCAGUCCAAAAUGGGUGGUAAAUUUCAUCUAAAGCUAAAUAUUGGCGAGAGACCGAUAGCAAACAAGUACCGUGAGGGAAAGAUGAAAAGAACUUUGAAAAGAGAGUUAAACAGUACGUGAAAUUGUCAAAAGGGAAGCGUUUGACACCAGUGUUGUUUUUCCGAAAAUCAAUUACGAAUGGCUUGAUUCUGUGUUGUAUUGACCUUAUCAGCUUUCUUCACUUUUUUCGAGUCUUUCUUAAUGCACUUUUCGGUUAACAAGUCAACAUCAAUUUCUUUUGUUGUAAAAGAGUAUUCGGAAGGUGGCUUUCUUUUCGGAGAAAGUGUUUAUAGCCCUAUACUUCUACAAUCGGAGAGAUUGAGGUCUGCAGCGUAGAUCCUUCGGGGUUAGACACACUUGUGCUAAGUUGUAGCUUUUCAUAGACAACUUGUUGACUAUGUUUAGUCAUGCGGCUUACUCGCUUGUGCUAUUUUACCUACGCUUAGGAUGUUGAAGAUGUAGCACAUCAU
Molecule: ribosomal RNA, 774 nt
Filed under: uncultured Neocallimastigales
Lineage: Eukaryota; Fungi; Neocallimastigomycota; Neocallimastigomycetes; Neocallimastigales
Description: partial large subunit ribosomal RNA
Rfam family: Eukaryotic large subunit ribosomal RNA
Source: RNAcentral